RNAcentral lists this ribosomal RNA (387 nucleotides) under uncultured bacterium. RNAcentral's name for it is "bacterial SSU rRNA". It matches the Rfam family "Bacterial small subunit ribosomal RNA", at positions 29 to 408 of the family's 1533-position model. The record is from RNAcentral.
AACGAACGCUGGCGGCGGGCCUCAUACAUGCAAGUCGAGCGCGAAAGUCCGCAAGGAUGAGUAAAGCGGCGCACGGGUGAGUAACACGUGGAUAAUCUACCCUUUGGAUUGGAAUAACCUGUCGAAAGACGGGCUAAUGCCAAGUAAGCUUACAAGUUCGUGAAGUUCUUGUAAGGAAAGAUGGCGCAAGCAAUCGCCGAAGGAUGAGUCUGCGUCCCAUUAGUUAGUUGGUGGGGUAAUGGCUUACCAAGACAAUGAUGGGUACCUGGUCUGAGAGGAUGAUCAGGCACACUGGAACUGAAACACGGUCCAGACUCCUACGGGAGGCAGCAGUAGGGAAUAUUGCGCAAUGGACGAAAGUCUGACGCAGCCACGCCGCGUGAGUGA